Molecule: ribosomal RNA, 465 nt
Filed under: Vreelandella stevensii
Lineage: Bacteria; Pseudomonadati; Pseudomonadota; Gammaproteobacteria; Oceanospirillales; Halomonadaceae
Description: partial 16S ribosomal RNA
Rfam family: Bacterial small subunit ribosomal RNA
Source: RNAcentral
CCUACGGGCGGCAGCAGUGGGGAAUAUUGGACAAUGGGGGGAACCCUGAUCCAGCCAUGCCGCGUGUGUGAAGAAGGCCCUCGGGUUGUAAAGCACUUUCAGUGAGGAAGAACGCCUGGUGGUUAAUACCCAUCAGGAAAGACAUCACUCACAGAAGAAGCACCGGCUAACUCCGUGCCAGCAGCCGCGGUAAUACGGAGGGUGCGAGCGUUAAUCGGAAUUACUGGGCGUAAAGCGCGCGUAGGUGGCUUGAUAAGCCGGUUGUGAAAGCCCCGGGCUCAACCUGGGAACGGCAUCCGGAACUGUCAAGCUAGAGUGCAGGAGAGGAAGGUAGAAUUCCAGGUGUAGCGGUGAAAUGCGUAGAGAUCGGGAGGAAUACCAGUGGCGAAGGCGGCCUUCUGGACUGAAACUGACACUGAGGUGCGAAAGCGUGGGUAGCAAACAGGAUUAGAUACCCUAGUAGUC